AAUUCUCAACCUUACUAGCUUUUAUGAGCAUUGUAAUGGCUUGGAUGUGGGGGUCUUUUUUUUGCUGGCUUCGAAAGAAAUCAGCUCCCCUAAAAUGUAUUAGCUGGUGCCCCCGUGUGGACUAUCUACUGGUGUGAUAAUUAUCUAUGCCGUUAGAUGUCUGCUUUAAAUAGGGAUGUGCUGCUUCUAAUUGUCCACUUAGGACACUUAUUGACU
This 216-nucleotide unclassified non-coding RNA is filed under the name Gymnopilus penetrans. Its description in RNAcentral is "partial internal transcribed spacer 2". The record is from RNAcentral. Lineage: Eukaryota; Fungi; Basidiomycota; Agaricomycetes; Agaricales; Galerinaceae.